AAAAGGGAAUGGUAUAGAGACGAAGAAGAUGGAGGAAUGCUACAGAGACGAAGAAGAUGGGAAUGCUACAGAGACAGAGAAGAUGGCUUAAGUGAAAACCAUGAGAUAUUGUUGUUAAUAAAUAUACCCAUCUUCUCCGUCUCUGUAGCAUUCCUCCAUCUUCUUUGUCUCUGUAGCAUUCCUCCAUCU
This 189-nucleotide microRNA precursor is filed under the name Prunus dulcis (almond). RNAcentral's name for it is "sRNA ncRNA". The record is from RNAcentral. Lineage: Eukaryota; Viridiplantae; Streptophyta; Magnoliopsida; Rosales; Rosaceae.